CCUACGGGGGGCAGCAGUGAGGAAUAUUGGUCAAUGGGCUUACGCCUGAACCAGCCAAGUCGCGUGAGGGAAGACUGCCCUAUGGGUUGUAAACCUCUUUUGUCAGGGAGCAAUUGGCGCUACGUGUAGCGUUAUCGAGAGUACCUGAAGAAAAAGCAUCGGCUAACUCCGUGCCAGCAGCCGCGGUAAUACGGAGGAUGCGAGCGUUAUCCGGAUUUAUUGGGUUUAAAGGGUGCGUAGGCGGAAUGCCAAGUCAGCGGUAAAAUCGCGGGGCUCAACCUCGCUCCGCCGUUGAAACUGGCGGUCUUGAGUGGGCUAGAAGUAUGCGGAAUGCGUGGUGUAGCGGUGAAAUGCAUAGAUAUCACGCAGAACUCCGAUUGCGAAGGCAGCAUACCGGCGCCCAACUGACGCUGAAGCACGAAAGCGUGGGUAUCGAACAGGAUUAGAUACCCUAGUAGUC
This 460-nucleotide ribosomal RNA is filed under the name uncultured bacterium. Its description in RNAcentral is "partial 16S ribosomal RNA". It matches the Rfam family "Bacterial small subunit ribosomal RNA", at positions 338 to 795 of the family's 1533-position model. The record is from RNAcentral.